AGGCCUAACACAUGCAAGUCGAGCGGUAGCACAGAGAAGCUUGCUUCUUGGGUGACGAGCGGCGGACGGGUGAGUAACGCGUGGGAAUCUACCUGGUAGUGGGGGACAACAGUCGGAAACGACUGCUAAUACCGCAUACGCCCUUCGGGGGAAAGUGGGGGAUCUUCGGACCUCACGCUAUCAGAUGAGCCCGCGUCGGAUUAGCUUGUUGGUGAGGUAAAGGCUCACCAAGGCGAUGAUCCGUAGCUGGUCUGAGAGGAUGACCAGCCACACUGGGACUGAGACACGGCCCAGACUCCUACGGGAGGCAGCAGUGGGGAAUAUUGGACAAUGGGGGCAACCCUGAUCCAGCCAUGCCGCGUGUGUGAAGAAGGCCUUCGGGUUGUAAAGCACUUUCAGUAGGGAGGAA
RNAcentral lists this ribosomal RNA (409 nucleotides) under uncultured Gammaproteobacteria bacterium. Its description in RNAcentral is "bacterial SSU rRNA". It matches the Rfam family "Bacterial small subunit ribosomal RNA", at positions 44 to 449 of the family's 1533-position model. Lineage: Bacteria; Pseudomonadati; Pseudomonadota; Gammaproteobacteria. The record is from RNAcentral.